Molecule: microRNA precursor, 52 nt
Filed under: Equus asinus (donkey)
Lineage: Eukaryota; Metazoa; Chordata; Mammalia; Perissodactyla; Equidae
Also listed under: 1 other name
Description: mir-1302 microRNA precursor family
Rfam family: mir-1302 microRNA precursor family
Source: Rfam by way of RNAcentral
UUUUUAGUAUAAUUAUCUCCCAUGCAAGGUUUGGGACAUACUUAUACUGAAA